UACGUAGGGGGCAAGCGUUGUCCGGAAUCAUUGGGCGUAAAGAGCGCGUAGGCGGUCCGUUAAGUCGGCUGUGAAAGUCCAAGGCUCAACCUUGGGAUGCCGGUCGAUACUGCCGGACUAGAGUUCGGAAGAGGCGAGUGGAAUUCCCGGUGUAGCGGUGAAAUGCGCAGAUAUCGGGAGGAACACCAGUGGCGAAGGCGACUACCUGGCAUGUUCUUGACGCUGAGGCGCGAAAGCUAGGGGAGCAAACGGG
This 253-nucleotide ribosomal RNA is filed under the name uncultured bacterium. RNAcentral describes it as "partial 16S ribosomal RNA". It matches the Rfam family "Bacterial small subunit ribosomal RNA", at positions 524 to 776 of the family's 1533-position model. The record is from RNAcentral.